RNAcentral lists this ribosomal RNA (468 nucleotides) under uncultured bacterium. Its description in RNAcentral is "partial 16S ribosomal RNA". It matches the Rfam family "Bacterial small subunit ribosomal RNA", at positions 28 to 507 of the family's 1533-position model. The record is from RNAcentral.
GACGAACGCUGGCGGCGUGCUUAACACAUGCAAGUCGAACGGAAAGGCCCUGCUUUUGUGGGGUGCUCGAGUGGCGAACGGGUGAGUAACACGUGAGUAACCUGCCCUUGACUUUGGGAUAACUUCAGGAAACUGGGGCUAAUACCGGAUAGGAGCUCCUGCUGCAUGGUGGGGGUUGGAAAGUUUCGGCGGUUGGGGAUGGACUCGCGGCUUAUCAGCUUGUUGGUGGGGUAGUGGCUUACCAAGGCUUUGACGGGUAGCCGGCCUGAGAGGGUGACCGGCCACAUUGGGGCUGAGAUACGGCCCAGACUCCUACGGGAGGCAGCAGUGGGGAAUAUUGCACAAUGGGCGGAAGCCUGAUGCAGCAACGCCGCGUGCGGGAUAACGGCCUUCGGGUUGUAAACCGCUUUCGCCUGUGACGAAGCGUGAGUGACGGUAAUGGGUAAAGAAGCACCGGCUAACUACGUG